CAGUAGCCGCGGGAAAACGUAGGGUGCGAGCGUUAAUCGGAAUUACUGGGCGUAAAGCGUGCGCAGGCGGUUAUGUAAGACAGGUGUGAAAUCCCCGGGCUUAACCUGGGAACUGCGCUUGUGACUGCACAGCUAGAGUAUGGCAGAGGGGGGUGGAAUUCCACGUGUAGCAGUGAAAUGCGUAGAGAUGUGGAGGAACACCGAUGGCGAAGGCAGCCCCCUGGGCCAAUACUGACGCUCAUGCACGAAAGCGUGGGGAGCAAACAGGAUUAGAUACCCCCGUAGUCCCUGUCUCUUAUAC
Molecule: ribosomal RNA, 301 nt
Filed under: uncultured bacterium
Lineage: Bacteria
Description: partial 16S ribosomal RNA
Rfam family: Bacterial small subunit ribosomal RNA
Source: RNAcentral